RNAcentral lists this ribosomal RNA (519 nucleotides) under uncultured eukaryote. Its description in RNAcentral is "SSU rRNA". It matches the Rfam family "Eukaryotic small subunit ribosomal RNA", at positions 1161 to 1699 of the family's 1831-position model. The record is from RNAcentral.
AGGGCACCACCAGGAGUGGAGCCUGCGGCUUAAUUUGACUCAACACGGGAAAACUCACCCGGCCCGGACACCGUAAGGAUUGACAGACUGAGAGCUCUUUCUUAAUUCGGUGGGUGGUGGUGCAUGGCCGUUCUUAGUUGGUGGAGCGAUUUGUCUGGUUAAUUCCGAUAACGAACGAGACUCUGGCCUAUUAAAUAGACGGUAUAUCUAGAAAAAGUAUACCGCGCUUCUUAGAGGGACAACCGGCGUCUAGCCGCGUGAAAUAGAGCUUUUUUUAGGUCUGUGAUGCCCUUAGAUGUCCGGGGCUGCACGCGCGCUACACUGAAAGAAUCAGUAUGCGCCGUCGCCUAGUUCGGAAGAACCGGGUAACCCGAGCAAAUUCUUUCGUGCUUGGGAUAGGGAAUUGCAAUUAUUUCCCUUAAACGAGGAAUUCCCAGUAAAUGCGGGUCAUAAGCUCGCGUUGAUUACGUCCCUGCCCUUUGUACACACCGCCCGUCGCUACUACCGAUUGGAUGACUU